RNAcentral lists this ribosomal RNA (460 nucleotides) under uncultured bacterium. RNAcentral's name for it is "partial 16S ribosomal RNA". It matches the Rfam family "Bacterial small subunit ribosomal RNA", at positions 338 to 795 of the family's 1533-position model. The record is from RNAcentral.
CCUACGGGCGGCAGCAGUGAGGAAUAUUGGUCAAUGGACGAGAGUCUGAACCAGCCAAGUAGCGUGAAGGAUGACUGCCCUAUGGGUUGUAAACUUCUUUUAUAAAGGAAUAAAACGAGGCACGUGUGCCUUUUUGCAUGUACUUUAUGAAUAAGGAUUGGCUAACUCCGUGCCAGCAGCCGCGGUAAUACGGAGGAUCCGAGCGUUAUCCGGAUUUAUUGGGUUUAAAGGGAGCGUAGAUGGGUUGUUAAGUCAGUUGUGAAAGUUUGCGGCUCAACCGUAAAAUUGCAAUUGAUACUGGCAGUCGUGAGUACAGUUGAGGUAGGCGGAAUUCGUGGUGUAGCGGUGAAAUGCUUAGAUAUCACGAAGAACCCCGAUUGCGAAGGCAGCUUACUAAACUGUGACUGACAUUGAUGCUCGAAAGUGUGGGUAUCAAACAGGAUUAGAUACCCCAGUAGUC